RNAcentral lists this ribosomal RNA (253 nucleotides) under uncultured bacterium. RNAcentral describes it as "partial 16S ribosomal RNA". It matches the Rfam family "Bacterial small subunit ribosomal RNA", at positions 524 to 776 of the family's 1533-position model. The record is from RNAcentral.
UACGUAGGGUGCGAGCGUUAAUCGGAAUUACUGGGCGUAAAGCGUGCGCAGGCGGUUCGUUAUGUCCGAUGUGAAAGCCCCGAGCUCAACUUGGGAAUGGCAUUGGAAACUGGCGGGCUGGAGUGUGGCAGAGGGGGGUGGAAUUCCACGUGUAGCAGUGAAAUGCGUAGAGAUGUGGAGGAACACCGAUGGCGAAGGCAGCCCCCUGGGCCAACACUGACGCUCAGGCACGACAGCGUGGGGAUCAAACAGG